Molecule: long non-coding RNA, 378 nt
Filed under: Ananas comosus (pineapple)
Lineage: Eukaryota; Viridiplantae; Streptophyta; Magnoliopsida; Poales; Bromeliaceae
Description: long non-coding RNA (ACOM_LNC033923)
Source: RNAcentral
GAGAGAGAGAGAGAGAGAGAGAGAGAGAGAGAGAGAGAGAGAGAUAUAUAUAUAUAUAUAUAUAUAUAUAUAUAUAUAUAUAUAUAUAUAUAUGCAAUUGCCAUUAUAAUUUAUUAUUCACAGACAUUUUAUGUAGUAUAUUAUGAAUCGAGCUAGAAUACUUUUAAAAGUAUCACCCCAUUGGGGCUUUUAAGUUUCUAACCCUUGGAUCUAUUCCUUUCUUACUAAUAGUCAUUGGAUCAAACACUAUUCCACCUGCCACCAUCAUCACAAUCUUACAUUUCUCCAUCCAACGGUUAAAAACUCAAAAAUACUAUUUCAUUACUUUUGAGAGUAUUCUAUCUCAACUCGUAUAGUAUAGUAUCAUCAAAUUAAUUU